UGAUUAAAAUUUCAUCCAUUUGUACUGUUAAAAACUAGUUGGUUUACGGGAUAAUUAAGCGGUGACACUUGUACCUUAUGCUGAAAUAUAAUGAUUAAUUUUUUACAUUAGAAAUUAAUGGAAUUUUUAACA
This 132-nucleotide microRNA precursor is filed under the name Gossypium arboreum. Its description in RNAcentral is "MIR7502 microRNA precursor family". It matches the Rfam family "MIR7502 microRNA precursor family". Lineage: Eukaryota; Viridiplantae; Streptophyta; Magnoliopsida; Malvales; Malvaceae. The record is from Rfam by way of RNAcentral.